CUUUCUCGAAGGCUUUGCAUUUGAACUCCUAUGACUGGUUGCGGACUUGAAGGGAACAACUUUGUGGCCUUCCUGACAUCCAGGAAAACAUUUGCUUCAAGAAGUGGCUUCAACAGACAGAAAUGCAGGCCAGAUUGGGAAAGGCAGGACGCUACACAACGGGAAGAAAAAAAACACUUUCUUUGUUGCCUUUUUCUUAUUGUACAUAGUGUUACUGUUUUUGUCACCAUUUAAAUAUUGAAUUCUAUUUAUUACUUUUAUUUUAAAUCAAAUGCACCUGUUUUAGAUACUGUAUUUAUUGUUGAUGUAUAGGUUGAUUUGCAGGUUGGUUGU
Molecule: long non-coding RNA, 333 nt
Organism: Gymnodraco acuticeps
Lineage: Eukaryota; Metazoa; Chordata; Actinopteri; Perciformes; Bathydraconidae
Exons: 3
Source: RefSeq, a predicted model, not a curated record